GGAUGCGAUCAUACCAGCACUAACGCAUUGGAUCCCAUCAGAAGUCCAAAGUUAAGCGUGCUUGGAGGAGAGUAGUACUAGGAUAGGUGACCCCCUGGGAAGUCCUCGUGUUGCAUCAU
This is a non-coding RNA of Solanum lycopersicum (tomato), 119 nucleotides long. The record is from Rfam. NCBI's taxonomy places the organism in Eukaryota, Viridiplantae, Streptophyta, Magnoliopsida, Solanales, Solanaceae.